AGGACAUAGUUCAGUCCAAAAUACUGUUGAUGCUGAGUUUUGUGGUGAAUGAGACUCUUUGGAGUAAUUAGUAUUCCAACAGGUUUUCAGUGGAAUCCCUUUCGAAGAGAAUCAGAGAAGAUCUACGAAUACUGUCCAUUUGUUCCAAAAAUCUCAACCACGUCACAAAAUUGCAGCUUUUCCACCAUUCCUGUAUAAACAUGUAAAGACUCUGAUGCAAAUAGGGAGAUAAUUUUAUUCUAACUUUAGAAGAUAAUGGAGUUUUACAUCCUGGUUUCAUCAGGUCCAAGUGUGUUUUAGUUUUACAGGUAUAUUAGCAAAGACAGCAAUCAGAUUAAGGACAGCCAAUUAAUAUUAAUGCCAGGUAAUAAUCAGGUUUCAUUUUAUAUUUCAAUCAAUUUCUAUUUCAUAUUAUAUAAAAUUUCCUUGAAACAAUUCCUUGUGUUGCUUUAGAGUGUCUGUCUUGAAUCUUGGGUAUCACUGUUAUCCAACAGAAAUGUCUUUAGGAAGGAAUUGUUCUUCUGGACACUUCAAUACGUUCUCUCUAUGUGGUGUCACUCAAAUGUCACUCAGAGAUUACAAAAGCUGACAAACAUAUGUGAACCCACAG
RNAcentral lists this long non-coding RNA (610 nucleotides) under Parus major (Great Tit). RNAcentral describes it as "lncRNA (ENSPMJG00000014332.1)". The record is from RNAcentral. Lineage: Eukaryota; Metazoa; Chordata; Aves; Passeriformes; Paridae.